AACGAACGCUGGCGGCAUGCCUAACACAUGCAAGUCGAACGAGACCUUCGGGUCUAGUGGCGCACGGGUGCGUAACGCGUGGGAACCUGCCCUUAGGUUCGGAAUAACUCCCCGAAAGGGGUGCUAAUACCGGAUAAUGUCUUCGGACCAAAGACUUAUCGCCUUUGGAUGGGCCCGCGUUGGAUUAGCUAGUUGGUAGGGUAAAAGCCUACCAAGGCGACGAUCCAUAGGUGGUCUGAGAGGAAGAUCAGCCACACUGGGACUGAGACACGGCCCAGAAUCCUACGGGAGGCAGCAGUGGGGAAUAUUGGACAAUGGGCGAAAGCCUGAUCCAGCUAUGCCGCGUGAGUGAUGAAGGCCUUAGGGUUGUAAAGCUCUUUUACCCGGGAUGAUAAUGACAGUACCGGGAGAAUAAGCGCCGGCUAACUCCGUG
Molecule: ribosomal RNA, 433 nt
Filed under: uncultured bacterium
Lineage: Bacteria
Description: partial 16S ribosomal RNA
Rfam family: Bacterial small subunit ribosomal RNA
Source: RNAcentral